GUGAGUGGGACACGAAUGAAAGGCCCACAAGGAAAGCAUCAUGAAGCGCUUUCUGGCAGUUACUUUAAAUCUGCCCAGGGGAUGUAGGAGGCCGCUGGUGCGAUGGGAGCGGGCUAAGCUGUGACAGGCAGUGGACGCUUGGCCCCGCUCUCCCUGGGUGACGGUCACCUGAAUUUCAUCCCCGGACCAAAUGGGACCGCCGUCUGCUCGAAAGUGCUGACUUCUUCUGCCUUUAUUUUCCUUGGACCCUGAUUUUUUUCAUAUAUUACCAUAUCAAUAUAUUAAUUUUUCUUUUUGAUUCAGUUUCAAUAAGCCCCCCUCAAAUGCAAUUAGCUGCUGUGAGUGCAUAAAUCAAGUACUUUCUAAGGGGAGAAGUGGAAAUACUGCUUAUCCCUCCACAAAGCUAGGUGACAUCAGUUCUCAAGGCGGGCUCACCCUCAGAACGCCCGUCCCCACGCUGUCACGCGCUCCAGGCGCGGCUGCUGAGGCUGCCCUCCCUGCCUGCCACACAUGACCGUCGG
Molecule: long non-coding RNA, 521 nt
Organism: Ailuropoda melanoleuca (giant panda)
Lineage: Eukaryota; Metazoa; Chordata; Mammalia; Carnivora; Ursidae
Exons: 3
Source: RefSeq, a predicted model, not a curated record